AGGGUUAGGGUUUCUGCCGAGCAGCUCCAUGAGUCGCCAUGCCCAUGAAAUUUCUUUUGGGUUUCUGCCUUUGUUACUGACAGGAGAUGAGAGAGCCAAUAAAUUGGAGGUACCAUAAAUACAUGAGAUAUGCAUUGGAGGUUAAUAUAUACAAGGGUUUCUUGCAAUUUCCUCUUCUCUGUCUCUCCUCCCUUCCCCCAGUACAGGCCGCUCCUCUUGCCUGUUUAUCCUUCUGUUUAAGGUAGUUCAGAUUCUUGAUCAGAAAAAGCAAAAAUCAAAAGAAAAAGAAAAGCAAAGGCGGUCAAGAUUCUACCACGUGAAGGCCAAUGAAUACUUUAAUUUUGAAAGAUUGGAAAAGGCCACAGUGGCUUGGGGCUGUUGUGGACAAAAAAAUGGAGAAGGGUCAUCAAGAGGCAGCACCUUCAAAUCAGGACUAGGAUGGUGAAUUUGUUGACUAUAAAGACUGGAAGAAAGCAAUUCAUUACAAAUUUACAUGUUCCCAAAAAAACAAAAGCACAAGCACAGUGGCUCUAUCCGCUCCAACCAUUCAGAAGCCGCCGUCUCUCUCGGACUAAGCCAUAUGCUAUGUGAGACAAAGCAACUGACAACUCAUGCGGUUCUGUUGGCUCCUUAUACGCCACUAUGCUGCUGGCAGCAUCUCUUACAGCUCCUUUCUUGCACAUGACAAUCAGAUUGCCAUGUGCAAGAAAGGAGCUAUAAAAGAUGUUUCCAGCAGCAUAGUGGCGUAUAAGGAGCCAACAUAACCGCAUGAAUUUUGAUUGAUUUGAAGGGUUUGAGCUGGAAGGAGGCCAGGAAUAUUACUCAAAGUUAACUCCCUUUAUGGGCAUUUAUUGGUUGAUUAUGUAGGAAUUUUUGUAGUGUAUGUACAAAUGGGGAAUUCAGAGGCAUUUGAGAAUGGUUGGAAUAUGAUAAUACAAGCAAGAGACUCCUACUUGUUUCUAGAGGAGGGCAUCCU
Prunus mume (Japanese apricot) is the source of this 976-nucleotide long non-coding RNA. RefSeq lists it as uncharacterized. Lineage: Eukaryota; Viridiplantae; Streptophyta; Magnoliopsida; Rosales; Rosaceae. The record is from RefSeq and is a predicted model, not a curated record.